AUGAAAAUUAGUGGAUGGAAGGAAAAAUUGUUAUCCUCUGGAGGGAAGGAAAUUUUGCUCAAAUCUGUUGUACAAGCCAUCCCCACCUAUGCCAUGUACGUCUUUAAAAUUCCUAAUAAAAAUUGCAAAGGAAUUAUUGACGUGAGGUCGCAAUUUUGGUGGGGUGGCGAGGACAAUCAGAAGAGGAUGCAUUGGAUGGCAUGGUGGAAAAUGUGUGUUCCAAAAGAUCAAGGAGGUAUGGGUUUCGAGAUAUACACGGUUCCAACAUGGCACUAUUAG
This 279-nucleotide ribosomal RNA is filed under the name Triticum aestivum (bread wheat). Its description in RNAcentral is "partial small subunit ribosomal RNA". Lineage: Eukaryota; Viridiplantae; Streptophyta; Magnoliopsida; Poales; Poaceae. The record is from RNAcentral.